UACGUAGGUGGCAAGCGUUGUUCGGAAUUAUUGGGCGUAAAGGGCGCGUAGGCGGUUUGUUAAGUCAGCUGUGAAAGCCCGGGGCUCAACCCCGGAGGGUCAGUUGAUACUGGCAGACUAGAGUACAGAAGAGGUAACUGGAAUUCCCGGUGUAGCGGUGAAAUGCGUAGAUAUCUGGAGGAACACCGGUGGCGAAGGCGGCAUCCUGGACCGGCAUUGACGCUGAGGCGCGAAAGCCAGGGGAGCAAACGGG
This 253-nucleotide ribosomal RNA is filed under the name uncultured bacterium. RNAcentral's name for it is "partial 16S ribosomal RNA". It matches the Rfam family "Bacterial small subunit ribosomal RNA", at positions 524 to 776 of the family's 1533-position model. The record is from RNAcentral.